Molecule: long non-coding RNA, 687 nt
Organism: Rana temporaria (common frog)
Lineage: Eukaryota; Metazoa; Chordata; Amphibia; Anura; Ranidae
Exons: 3
Source: RefSeq, a predicted model, not a curated record
AUUGCUGCAAGCCAUUUUGGGCGCUAGGGGGCACGCACCAGCUCAGCGUCACUGAUCUGAACUCAAGCGGAGGCUUGAGUGUCAGUGCGCGUCCGCUUUCUCACGGCACCCAUAUGGUAGGCACUGAUGCGUCAUUUGUGACGCUGGUGCACUUUCCCAGGAGUUCCCCUUCUCCGCGCCGGCGCGUUAGAUUCAGCAUCUCCUAGAGGGAUGCUCUUCUUCUGCGCAGACGCGGUCCCUGUGGUUCCUAUGGGUAAUCCCCAUGACAUCUGCCGUGAAUACCACGCCCAUCUUAGAGUGAGGAGCUGCCCCCUACUCAGCUGUGUAUCAUCUCACUCUGAUUGAGGGCAGCUUAUUAGUGAGCCGCACAGCUGAUGUGUCAGCGUGAGCUCUGCCAGAGGAAUCAUUCCUUGGUAUACAGAGGCAACAGCAGGUCAUAGUAUCUGGACUAUUCAGUUCUCCUGGGCAAUUUAUCUGCCCUAUUCCCGGCAGUUAUUAUUGCAACUAGAAUCAGUAUAGUAUUGACAGAAAUCUCUUGGGAUGAAUUAUAUCCAUCUCUUCUGAGACUACCUCAUCAUCAAUCUUCCCAUUUUUUCUAUCAUCAUUUUAAUCAGGUAAUAAUCAUUAAUUCUUUUACACAUAUCUCUCUACAGUUGUCUGUUCAUCGCAAUCUUUCUCCCUUUCUGG